Molecule: ribosomal RNA, 465 nt
Filed under: Vreelandella stevensii
Lineage: Bacteria; Pseudomonadati; Pseudomonadota; Gammaproteobacteria; Oceanospirillales; Halomonadaceae
Description: partial 16S ribosomal RNA
Rfam family: Bacterial small subunit ribosomal RNA
Source: RNAcentral
CCUACGGGUGCAGCAGUGGGGAAUAUUGGACAAUGGGCGAAAGCCUGAUCCAGCCAUGCCGCGUGUGUGAAGAAGGCCUUCGGGUUGUAAAGCACUUUCAGUGGGGAAGAAAGCCUUGGGGCUAAUACCCUCGAGGAAGGACAUCACCCACAGAAGAAGCACCGGCUAACUCCGUGCCAGCAGCCGCGGUAAUACGGAGGGUGCGAGCGUUAAUCGGAAUUACUGGGCGUAAAGCGCGCGUAGGCGGUCUGAUAAGCCGGUUGUGAAAGCCCCGGGCUCAACCUGGGAACGGCAUCCGUGAACUGUCAGGCUAGAGUGCAGGAGAGGAAGGUAGAAUUCCCGGUGUAGCGGUGAAAUGCGUAGAGAUCGGGAGGAAUACCAGUGGCGAAGGCGGCCUUCUGGACUGACACUGACGCUGAGGUGCGAAAGCGUGGGUAGCAAACAGGAUUAGAUACCCUGGUAGUC